RNAcentral lists this ribosomal RNA (245 nucleotides) under uncultured Ornatilinea sp. RNAcentral describes it as "partial 16S ribosomal RNA". It matches the Rfam family "Bacterial small subunit ribosomal RNA", at positions 524 to 768 of the family's 1533-position model. Lineage: Bacteria; Bacillati; Chloroflexota; Anaerolineae; Anaerolineales; Anaerolineaceae. The record is from RNAcentral.
AACGUAGGAGGCGAGCGUUAUCCGGAUUUACUGGGUGUAAAGCGCGUGCAGGCGGAUGGGUAAGUUGGGUGUGAAAGCUCCCGGCUCAACUGGGAGAGGUCGCUCAAGACUGCCCGUCUGGAGGACGAUAGAGGAAGGCGGAAUUCCGGGUGUAGUGGUGAAAUGCGUAGAUAUCCGGAGGAACACCAGUGGCGAAAGCGGCCUUCUGGAUCGUAACUGACGCUCAGACGCGAAAGCUAGGGUAG